This 1010-nucleotide long non-coding RNA is filed under the name Bos taurus (domestic cattle). Its description in RNAcentral is "long non-coding RNA NONBTAT020469". The record is from RNAcentral. Lineage: Eukaryota; Metazoa; Chordata; Mammalia; Artiodactyla; Bovidae.
UGGUUUUCAGAAAGCAACCUUGUUAACUAUCACAGCCAACAGACUCUUAGUCAAGAAGUCUUACUCCAAUAAGGGUCACAAUCACAUUGGAUCCAGACUCAUUUGCUCACUGAAGGUAGUGCCUAGUAAAGCAGGUACUACUUACUGAGCACUGUCUAUGUGCAGGCACUGUCCUAGAGGCUGUGCCUCUACCGUCCCUUUAACCUCACUGAUUCUAUGACACCAUGACAACCACAUGGGGAAACCAAGAUUCGGAAUUUUUUUAACUUGCCAAAUUCAUACAGCAACACAAAAGAUAGAAUCAAAAUCCAAAUCCAGGUCUUUCUUACCUCCAGAGCCCACAUUAUUAAGUAGAUUAUAGAAGAGUUUUGUAACAUAGAAAGAAGCGCCUUAGAAUUAGCCCGAAGUUGAAAAUCUACCAGUAUUUUAAAUCACUACCUUAACUUCCCUACCUUUUUUCUUCCUUAACAAAUAUUUAUCCUGAGUUGACAUUGGGCCUGGAUUAAGUGUUGUAAGUAGCCAAAUAGUCUGCCUGAAUUAGAAGAAGGAAUCAAUCAAUUAGAUUAUUUGCUGUUAAUUUUUUUUUUAAUUGAGAUUUUAAAUUUUAGUUUAUAAAUCCUUCUUAGUGUGAUCUGCAGACCAAAAACAUCCCAGUCAACUGGGACAUUGUUAGAAAUAUAGAAAUCCCCUCCCUACCCUCCCAACCAAAGUACCUAGUUUGAGCAGCACUGCUAUCCAAGUUCACACAGACCCAACAGUAAUCGCCUUUAAAUUUUGUUUUUUAACGCAAUGAAGUUUCAGAAGUGUCAUUUGCAAGUUGACACUAUAAACUUCUAGUACUUGAUGAUGAUGAGAAAAGUAGGUCAGCAGAUGCACUGGGUUCACAUCCUCUGUGAGGUUAUACUGCUGCAGCAGGUCACGUGUCCAAUGCAAACCAGAAGCGAGCUAUUCCUUCCUCAGUUAACUAGUUACAGAACUCUACAUGAAGACAUGGGGGCUAGACAGACAGG